UAACAAUAGACAAAAGCUAAUAAACGCUUUGGGAGUGUUGGAUAAGAUAAUAAAAGUAGAAUUAUCAUAUUAAAAUGAACAAUAAUUAUAUCGUUAGAAUUAUCAUAUUAAAAUAAAAACUAAUUACACCUAUCAAUGCGUGAUAUUUAGGUAUAUGUUUUAAACUACUUAUUGUGGAGGCGUUCCUUUUAACAAUAAUCAACUAUUUUUUCAUAGAUGAUCAUGAUUUAUUUACUUGUUAAGUACAUUACGAAGUAAAAUGAAUAGAUAAAUAUUGAUUUUAAGGCAGAUCCUUAUAUCCUCUUUCUCUCUCUUGUUUCCCAAUGAAGAGCACUCUAUUUAGGCGAUUUCUUACAUUUCUAUCUUCCAUUGAAGCAUUACUUUUGAGAUACGAUCAUUUGGGUAUUUCUCAAAAUCCGUCGCUGGUAAUGAAUGAUCAGAAGAUUUGAGUACGACGCGGCGAUGAUUUUGCCGUUAUUCCGGUUAAGGUAGCAGUCAAUGACUUGAGGCCUUGGCUCGAGAGAGGCUUAAGAGGAAGGUUACCAUCAAGGUUUAUCAAUCAUGAAUAUCUCUUAUUGGGUACUAGUUUGAGCAGCCUGCAUUUGGAAAGUUUUUUUAGGCUAAUUUGCAAUAAAUGGAAUAAUGCUGUCCUCCUUUUCUUGUUUGGACUGACAUAAGCACUAAUAUUGGUUGCCGUUCUAUUCUAGACAACCAACAUUGAACGAGAUCAAUCCCCGCCAGCCAUCAUAAAACUCAAAUUUUUGUGACAUCAAAUCCGUGUCUGGACUCGUGGUACUGUAAAAUAUUUGAGAACCUGAGCUUAAGUUAGUGGAGAAUUAGAGAAUGUACUAAUUUAUUGACACUAUUAAACCUAUUUUUGUUUCAUAUACUUUAAUUUCUAUUAUUUAUAGGCAUAGAAUUUGUGUAUAUUUCUUAUAAGAUUACAUGUUUUUUUUUUUUUGAAAACAACUCAUAAUGACAACAUAUUAUGCAAUUGUCUCCUUUUGCAAUUUUUGCGUAAAUAUAUAACCAUAAUUCUUACUAAUAAUGUGGCAUCUAGCUAAUCACAUUGCAAACUAAGUUUCUAAAAGCUAAAUUUGGGGAGUGGGUGCUUCUUUUGCGUUCCAACAACUAAUUAUUACAGCCGACUUUACAAUCCUACGUCUAAGCAAUCCUCUUUAUGUUUUUAAGAACCUUUUUAUGUCCAAGGCUCCAAGCUACACAUGCUACUUUAGCUGAAGUAUAGUCAACAAAUUUUAUAGAAUGUAACAUUACACUCACUUUUUUAGGCUUCUAAUCCUAUUAUAAUAUUAUUAUUCCCUCCAUCUGGAAGUAAUAGCUGCAUAUACUAUUUUAAAAUGUGAAGAACUGUUUUGUCACAUUUUUUAAUGUAGGAAUGGGCUUAUUAUGGGACUACUCUUUGACUUAAGGUUGGCAUAUUGUUUAAAGGAAAAUGACUUUUUUUUUUGGUUUCAUUUUCAUAUUAAAUAUUUAAAAUAAAUUGAACAGAACAAAAAUAAUAAAGAUUAUCUUAGAUUUGUAGUUCAAAGAGGAUUUU
Chenopodium quinoa (quinoa) is the source of this 1558-nucleotide long non-coding RNA. RefSeq lists it as uncharacterized. The transcript is spliced from 4 exons. The record is from RefSeq and is a predicted model, not a curated record. Lineage: Eukaryota; Viridiplantae; Streptophyta; Magnoliopsida; Caryophyllales; Amaranthaceae.